Molecule: transfer RNA, 76 nt
Filed under: Francisella tularensis subsp. tularensis SCHU S4
Lineage: Bacteria; Pseudomonadati; Pseudomonadota; Gammaproteobacteria; Thiotrichales; Francisellaceae
Also listed under: 1 other name
Description: tRNA-Phe
Rfam family: tRNA
About the family: Transfer RNA (tRNA) molecules are approximately 80 nucleotides in length. Their secondary structure includes four short double-helical elements and three loops (D, anti-codon, and T loops). Further hydrogen bonds mediate the characteristic L-shaped molecular structure. tRNAs have two regions of fundamental functional importance: the anti-codon, which is responsible for specific mRNA codon recognition, and the 3' end, to which the tRNAs corresponding amino acid is attached (by aminoacyl-tRNA synthetases). tRNAs cope with the degeneracy of the genetic code in two manners: having more than one tRNA (with a specific anti-codon) for a particular amino acid; and 'wobble' base-pairing, i.e. permitting non-standard base-pairing at the 3rd anti-codon position.
Source: RNAcentral
GCCAGAUAGCUCAGUCGGUAGAGCAGAGGACUGAAAAUCCUUGUGUCGGCAGUUCGAUUCUGCCUCUGGCCACCAU